Molecule: ribosomal RNA, 247 nt
Filed under: uncultured Actinomycetales bacterium
Lineage: Bacteria; Bacillati; Actinomycetota; Actinomycetes; Actinomycetales
Description: partial 16S ribosomal RNA
Rfam family: Bacterial small subunit ribosomal RNA
Source: RNAcentral
GGGGUACUCGAGUGGCGAACGGGUGAGUAACACGUGGGUGAUCUGCCUUGCACUCUGGGAUAAGCUUGGGAAACUGGGUCUAAUACCGGAUAGGAACCGUCUUUAGUGUGGUGGUUGGAAAGUUUUUUCGGUGCAAGGUGAGCUCGCGGCCUAUCAGCUUGUUGGUGGGGUAAUGGCCUACCAAGGCGUCGACGGGUAGCCGGCCUGAGAGGGUGUACGGCCACAUUGGGACUGAGAUACGGCCCAG